RNAcentral lists this ribosomal RNA (454 nucleotides) under Streptococcus sp. oral taxon 064. RNAcentral describes it as "bacterial SSU rRNA". It matches the Rfam family "Bacterial small subunit ribosomal RNA", at positions 28 to 468 of the family's 1533-position model. The record is from RNAcentral. Lineage: Bacteria; Bacillati; Bacillota; Bacilli; Lactobacillales; Streptococcaceae.
GACGAACGCUGGCGGCGUGCCUAAUACAUGCAAGUAGAACGCUGAAGGAGGAGCUUGCUCUUCUGGAUGAGUUGCGAACGGGUGAGUAACGCGUAGGUAACCUGCCUGGUAGCGGGGGAUAACUAUUGGAAACGAUAGCUAAUACCGCAUAAUAGUAGAUGUUGCAUGACAUUUACUUAAAAGGUGCAAUUGCAUCACUACCAGAUGGACCUGCGUUGUAUUAGCUAGUUGGUGGGGUAACGGCUCACCAAGGCGACGAUACAUAGCCGACCUGAGAGGGUGAUCGGCCACACUGGGACUGAGACACGGCCCAGACUCCUACGGGAGGCAGCAGUAGGGAAUCUUCGGCAAUGGACGGAAGUCUGACCGAGCAACGCCGCGUGAGUGAAGAAGGUUUUCGGAUCGUAAAGCUCUGUUGUAAGAGAAGAACGAGUGUGAGAGUGGAAAGUUCACA